GACGGGGACCCGCACAAGUAGCGGAGCAUGUGGUUUAAUUCGAAGCAACGCGAAGAACCUUACCUAAGCUUGACAUCCCAAUGACAUCUCCUUAAUCGGAGAGUUCCCUUCGGGGAUAUUGGUGACAGGUGGUGCAUGGUUGUCGUCAGCUCGUGUCGUGAGAUGUUGGGUUAAGUCCCGCAACGAGCGCAACCCUUGUCUUUAGUUGCCAUCAUUAAGUUGGGCACUCUAGAGAGACUGCCAGGGAUAACCUGGAGGAAGGUGGGGAUGACGUCAAAUCAUCAUGCCCCUUAUGCUUAGGGCUACACACGUGCUACAAUGGGUAGUACAGAGGGUUGCCAAGCCGUAAGGUGGAGCUAAUCCCUUAAAGCUACUCUCAGUUCGGAUUGUAGGCUGAAACUCGCCUACAUGAAGCUGGAGUUACUAGUAAUCGCAGAUCAGAAUGCUGCGGUGAAUGCGUUCCCGGGUCUUGUACACACCGCCCGUCACACCACGGGAGUUGGAGACGCCCGAAGCCGA
RNAcentral lists this ribosomal RNA (519 nucleotides) under Clostridioides difficile. RNAcentral describes it as "bacterial SSU rRNA". It matches the Rfam family "Bacterial small subunit ribosomal RNA", at positions 912 to 1430 of the family's 1533-position model. The record is from RNAcentral. Lineage: Bacteria; Bacillati; Bacillota; Clostridia; Peptostreptococcales; Peptostreptococcaceae.